UACAGAGGUCUCAAGCGUUGUUCGGAAUUACUGGGCGUAAAGGGUGCGCAGGCCGCGCGGGCAGUCAAAUGUGUAAUUCAGGGGCUCAACCCCUGCACUGCGCUUGAUACUUCCGCGCUCGAACCUUGGAGAGGAGUCUGGAAUUCUCGGUGUAGCAGUGAAAUGCGUGGAUAUUGAGAAGAACACUUAGGGCGAAAGCAAGACUCUGGACAAGUGUUGACGCUCAUGCACGAAGGCUAGGGUAGCGAACGGG
RNAcentral lists this ribosomal RNA (253 nucleotides) under uncultured bacterium. RNAcentral's name for it is "partial 16S ribosomal RNA". It matches the Rfam family "Bacterial small subunit ribosomal RNA", at positions 524 to 776 of the family's 1533-position model. The record is from RNAcentral.